AUAAUAAGUGUUAUCCUAACGUAGUCUAAAAUCGUUCAUCUUGUCAGUUCGUUAGGUAUUUGUGUUUGAACUUAACACACGGGGAAACUCCGCAUUGACGUCACUACGCUACUUCCGGCGUAGAAAAACAAUGUAGAAUACGUUUUUUCUGCACUUUUGAAUAAAAAACCAUUUCUGAAGGUAAGUUUUCAUUGUUGUUCUCAAUUAUUGCUAAAAAAUGCCAAAUUUCUAAUGCCCGUUUCAAUCCCGACUUCCGAAUGUCUAAAAACAUUCUAGAACUUCAUAAAAUCCCACUUCCGGCCUCCAUUGCUUUGUGUACAUUCCAUUCAGCGUCAUCAAUCUUGUGGUAGGCAAUACAGGUCAAGCAAAUCGUAUUUUUAAGAAUUUUAAAAUGACAUGCUCCUUACGUCUUUCGCGAUUUUCCCCGCGAAAAAA
This 435-nucleotide long non-coding RNA is filed under the name Mytilus galloprovincialis (Mediterranean mussel). Lineage: Eukaryota; Metazoa; Mollusca; Bivalvia; Mytilida; Mytilidae. The record is from RNAcentral.